This 152-nucleotide unclassified non-coding RNA is filed under the name uncultured Lactifluus. RNAcentral's name for it is "sequence contains ITS1". The record is from RNAcentral. Lineage: Eukaryota; Fungi; Basidiomycota; Agaricomycetes; Russulales; Russulaceae.
UUGUAUAACCGGGGCUGUCGCUGACCUUUCAAGGUCGUGCACGCCUCACUUACAAUCCAACUCACCCUUUGUGCAUCACCGCGUGGGCUCUUCCAGGGCCUGCGUUCUCACACAUCACACCUUUGUUUUAAAAUGUCAUGUUAAAAUCAAUA